UAAUAUAUAUUUAACUCAUGAACUCGAUAAAUAACCAUUCCCAUUGUGGCAUUGCUAAAGAAAUUUUAUUUUUCAUUAACAAAGAAUUCCAUCUCAAUUGGAAAUUAUUCUCAUCAAAUAUAGCAAUGUUGCAUUUGUAAAUUUUAUGGAUCUGAUCUGGAUUUAUUUAUUUUAGUGGGCAGUAUAAGGUUUAAUCCACUGUUAUAUAAGAUUUUAGGGAACGCAGUUUAAAUGGCCUUAAGAGUGUAGUGAAGACCUUAGUUUUUCUUUAAUGAUACUGAUAUAUUUACUCCUUCCCCUUCCUCCUGCUUCCCACCCCCUGCCCCUAGCACCCCCAAGAUUUCUUCAUUCCAGUUUUAAUGUAUAGUACCGAAGCAGUCAGAAUGUGGCUUAAGAAGCGGAAACGCCUCGUAUGGUACUCAAAAAUUCAUGCCUCCCGCCAAAAGAAGAUUCAUCUUUAGCCUUCGAGAUGGUUUUUUUUUUUUUUUUUUUUUCUCUCUAUGGAAGUUCAAAAUUUUGCCUUUCCUUUUUGUGUUGUUUGGAAACUUUUAACGCUUUUUGGUUUCUAAUUGUGGUGAUGAUGAUAUUGAUUUUGCAAGAAAAGAAGAGAAUGAAUCGCAUGAAGAAACCUCAAAGGUACUACUGAAGUGAUUUGGGUAUUUAUUUAUUUAUUCUUUUUUUUCCUCAAUUUUAAAAAUUGUUUAGAAAAUUGAGAUUUGGAAAUAUUUUACUCAUAGGUCAACUAUGUUGUAAUUAGAUUGUAGAUCAAUAAUUUUUUGGGAGAAUUGGCAUGUUUGGCUUUGUAUUUGAUUUAUGAAAGGAGCAAGGAAAGAAGUAUUUUUAGAACCCCUAUAUUAGAGAGCUUGAUUGCCACUGAGGGAAGGGCCAAUUGGCUGUGGAAUCUCCUAUUUUAUGGUUAGAUGCUGAACUAGCUUAUCUUACUGGCAGCCUUACAAAUGUACCUUAUGCUGUAAGAUAGUUUUCUUAAUCUAUAUUCAUUUAGUUUAGACACUGUAAGAUAGUUGGAAUUAUUUUAGUUAUUUUAUUAUUUUUAGCCAAUUGUUGUACUAGAUUGGUUUCAUUUAAUUUCAGUUAUUAUAUUUUAGAUUUUAAAAAUUUAAGGAUGAAGCUCAAGUUUAAUGCAAUGGAGUACAUGCGCUUAAAAUUAUUACAGUGACAAGUUUAAUGUAACAGCUGCUAUCACACUUCCACUUACACUCCUACUUGCCAUUGCCAUUGUUUAUAGAUUUUAUUAUUUAU
This is a long non-coding RNA of Ziziphus jujuba (common jujube), 1260 nucleotides long. RefSeq lists it as uncharacterized. NCBI's taxonomy places the organism in Eukaryota, Viridiplantae, Streptophyta, Magnoliopsida, Rosales, Rhamnaceae. The record is from RefSeq and is a predicted model, not a curated record. The transcript has 3 exons.